UACGAAGGGGGCUAGCGUUGUUCGGAAUUACUGGGCGUAAAGCGCGUGUAGGCGGGUCUUUAAGUUCGGGGUGAAAAUGCCAAGGCUCAACCUUGGAACUGCCUUUGAUACUGGAGAUCUUGAGUCCGGGAGAGGUGAGUGGAACUGCGAGUGUAGAGGUGAAAUUCGUAGAUAUUCGCAAGAACACCAGUGGCGAAGGCGGCUCACUGGCCCGGAACUGACGCUGAGACGCGAAAGCGUGGGGAGCAAACAGG
RNAcentral lists this ribosomal RNA (254 nucleotides) under uncultured bacterium. RNAcentral describes it as "partial 16S ribosomal RNA". It matches the Rfam family "Bacterial small subunit ribosomal RNA", at positions 524 to 776 of the family's 1533-position model. The record is from RNAcentral.